AACUACGUUUCUUUGUUUGAAAAAUUUAAAUCGUUUUUUUUGCCAAGUGGAGAGCAGAUCCACGUCUGCAGAAGUUUGAAGUUUGUUUUGGAGUUGUGAAGUUUUUAUCGUCAGUUUGUUGCCAGUCAGGGCAGUUUUUGGUUUGAGUGAAGAUUGUUUUAUUUCGCUUCGGCGAGUUACCGCAGUAGUUUGGAUUGUGUAGAGGCCAGCCAGUUUUGGAAGUUGGUGGAGUUUCCGUUUUACGGAGUAACAAGCCGAGUUGCGGCAGUUUUGGAAGUUUGGACCUUCAGUGAAGUGCGUCACUAAGGGGUGUCGGCGCCGACUUAAGUGUUUGUUUGUGUAAUUUCGUAUUUUGUUGUAUUUUUUUGUGUGUACCGUAAUUGGGAUUAGCAGUUUUGGACAUGUACCGAAUCUCAAUAGAUCCCUCACUCGAACAUCACCGACUUACUCUUUUAUAAAGGUUUAUGUAUUUUAGCCUUUAACGCUAAGCUCUGAUGAUGGAAUUGAUAUUCUAUGCAAUCUGCCUUUCAAUACGACGCUUAUAAUUCUAAUGGAGCAAUACAUCGAAAAAAUACUUUAUCGAAACAUGACAUUUAUUGCGUACUUAAUUUAUUAGUGAACUUGCGUGAAAAGUACCCCAAAAUAACAAAUUCUCAUAAUAGCAUAGUUACCCUUCAUAAUAUCAUAGUUACCAUAUUACAAGAGUUCUAAUAUUAACGUAACCUGUAUGGAAGAAAGCGGCUAAGCUAUUGG
This is a long non-coding RNA of Photinus pyralis (common eastern firefly), 753 nucleotides long. RefSeq lists it as uncharacterized. The record is from RefSeq and is a predicted model, not a curated record. The transcript has 3 exons. NCBI's taxonomy places the organism in Eukaryota, Metazoa, Arthropoda, Insecta, Coleoptera, Lampyridae.